Molecule: microRNA precursor, 275 nt
Filed under: Oryza barthii
Lineage: Eukaryota; Viridiplantae; Streptophyta; Magnoliopsida; Poales; Poaceae
Description: MIR821 microRNA precursor family
Rfam family: MIR821 microRNA precursor family
Source: Rfam by way of RNAcentral
GAUUUCAAUUGAAAAAGUCAUCAACAACAAAGUUGUAUAACUCAUCAAGAUCUAUAACUUUUAUUUUGGUCGUUUCUUCAUCCGACAAAGUGAUAGUAACAUUGUUUACAAAAUUUACAUCUGUCUCAUCUGGUUCUAUAAACUAUAAGAGAGAUAUGUAAACUUUGUGAACAAUAUUAUUAUCACUUUAUCGGAUGAAGAAAUAACCAAAAUAAAAGUUGUACGUCUUGAUGAGCUCUACAACUUUUAUGUUCAUGACUUUUUCAGCUGAAAUU